CACGCCGCGUGAGUGAAGAAGGUUUUCGGAUCGUAAAACUCUGUUGUUAGAGAAGAACAAGGAUGAGAGUAAAAUGUUCAUCCCUUGACGGUAUCUAACCAGAAAGCCACGGCUAACUACGUGCCAGCAGCCGCGGUAAUACGUAGGUGGCAAGCGUUGUCCGGAUUUAUUGGGCGUAAAGCGAGCGCAGGCGGUUUCUUAAGUCUGAUGUGAAAGCCCCCGGCUCAACCGGGGAGGGUCAUUGGAAACUGGGAGACUUGAGUGCAGAAGAGGAGAGUGGAAUUCCAUGUGUAGCGGUGAAAUGCGUAGAUAUAUGGAGGAACACCAGUGGCGAAGGCGGCUCUCUGGUCUGUAACUGACGCUGAGGCUCGAAAGCGUGGGGAGCGAACAGGAUUAGAUACCCUGGUAGUCCACGCCGUAAACGAUGAGUGCUAAGUGUUGGAGGGUUUCCGCCCUUCAGUGCUGCAGCAAACGCAUUAAGCACUCCGCCUGGGGAGUACGACCGCAAGGUUGAAACUCAAAGGAAUUGACGGGGGCCCGCACAAGCGGUGGAGCAUGUGGUUUAAUUCGAAGCAACGCGAAGAACCUUACCAGGUCUUGACAUCCUUUGACCACUCUAGAGAUAGAGCUUCCCCUUCGGGGGCAAAGUGACAGGUGGUGCAUGGUUGUCGUCAGCUCGUGUCGUGAGAUGUUGGGUUAAGUCCCGCAACGAGCGCAACCCUUAUUGUUAGUUGCCAUCAUUUAGUUGGGCACUCUAGCGAGACUGCCGGUGACAAACCGGAGGAAGGUGGGGGAUGACGUCAAAUCAUCAUGCCCCUUAUGACCUGGGCUACACACGUGCUACAAUGGGAAGUACAACGAGUUGCGAAGUCGCGAGGCUAAGCUAAUCUCUUAAAGCUUCUCUCAGUUCGGAUUGUAGGCUGCAACUCGCCUACAUGAAGCCGGAAUCGCUAGUA
RNAcentral lists this ribosomal RNA (956 nucleotides) under uncultured bacterium. RNAcentral's name for it is "bacterial SSU rRNA". It matches the Rfam family "Bacterial small subunit ribosomal RNA", at positions 393 to 1340 of the family's 1533-position model. The record is from RNAcentral.